This 253-nucleotide ribosomal RNA is filed under the name uncultured bacterium. RNAcentral's name for it is "partial 16S ribosomal RNA". It matches the Rfam family "Bacterial small subunit ribosomal RNA", at positions 524 to 776 of the family's 1533-position model. The record is from RNAcentral.
UACGGGGGGAGCAAGCGUUGUUCGGAUUUACUGGGCGUAAAGGGCGCGUAGGCGGCCUUCUAAGUCAGACGUGAAAUCCCUCGGCUCAACCGGGGAACUGCGUCUGAUACUGGGAGGCUUGAAUCCGGGAGAGGAAUGCGGAAUUCCAGGUGUAGCGGUGAAAUGCGUAGAUAUCUGGAGGAACACCGGUGGCGAAGGCGGCAUUCUGGACCGGCAUUGACGCUGAGGCGCGAAAGCCAGGGGAGCAAACGGG